UGCGUGAGGCCGCUAAGUGAUGUGAUAUGUUACAUGCUAGAUUCUCAUGGCUUAGGAUCGGGGUCCUAACAAUAUCAAAUACUUAGGUGCUAUUCUAAAUUGAUUCAUAUUUAAUUAUCGCAUAAUUGGUAUUAUAUUCUAACUUAUUCAUGGCUUAUACCCCCCAAUACAAUCCAUAGCAUCAUCAAAACAAGCAAAAUAUGCAAGCAAAAACAGAAUGUGUCUAAAACAGAAUAGUUUGUAGUAAUAUGUAAUGAACCUAUCUUAAUGUAACUACAAGACUUAUGAAAU
RNAcentral lists this long non-coding RNA (291 nucleotides) under Hordeum vulgare. RNAcentral's name for it is "long non-coding RNA (HVUL_LNC018697)". Lineage: Eukaryota; Viridiplantae; Streptophyta; Magnoliopsida; Poales; Poaceae. The record is from RNAcentral.